AGGACAUUCCGGAAGUGCAGCAGGGGGGGCGUCUCUCCCGGAGAAGGUCUCGCAUUCGACAGGUACACUUUGAGCCCCGACAGGAUGUGUACUAGUCUACACGGGAAGUUCUCUUUUCUCCUGAAGCGCUUGGCAUCUGCCAUCAGCUCCCCCUACAUCCGGCAGAACCCUUAAAGCCCCAAAAAUGUCUUGAUGUCUGCACUUCUCCAGGAAGAGCACAAAAUGCU
This is a long non-coding RNA of Lepus europaeus (European hare), 227 nucleotides long. RefSeq lists it as uncharacterized. The record is from RefSeq and is a predicted model, not a curated record. Lineage: Eukaryota; Metazoa; Chordata; Mammalia; Lagomorpha; Leporidae. The transcript is spliced from 3 exons.